Molecule: ribosomal RNA, 467 nt
Filed under: uncultured Roseobacter sp.
Lineage: Bacteria; Pseudomonadati; Pseudomonadota; Alphaproteobacteria; Rhodobacterales; Roseobacteraceae
Description: bacterial SSU rRNA
Rfam family: Bacterial small subunit ribosomal RNA
Source: RNAcentral
CCCUCGCGCCAUCAGAGAGUUUGAUCCUGGCUCAGAACGAACGCUGGCGGCAGGCCUAACACAUGCAAGUCGAGCGCACCUUCGGGUGAGCGGCGGACGGGUUAGUAACGCGUGGGAACGUACCCUUUUCUAAGGAAUAGCCACUGGAAACGGUGAGUAAUACCUUAUACGCCCUUCGGGGGAAAGAUUUAUCGGAGAAGGAUCGGCCCGCGUUAGAUUAGAUAGUUCGGUGGGGUAACGGCCUACCAAGUCUACGAUCUAUAGCUGGUUUUAGAGGAUGAUCAGCAACACUGGGACUGAGACACGGCCCAGACUCCUACGGGAGGCAGCAGUGGGGAAUCUUGGACAAUGGGCGCAAGCCUGAUCCAGCCAUGCCGCGUGAGUGAUGAAGGCCUUAGGGUCGUAAAGCUCUUUCGCUGGGGAUGAUAAUGACAGUACCCAGUAAAGAAACCCCGGCUAACUCCGUG